This 253-nucleotide ribosomal RNA is filed under the name uncultured bacterium. RNAcentral's name for it is "partial 16S ribosomal RNA". It matches the Rfam family "Bacterial small subunit ribosomal RNA", at positions 524 to 776 of the family's 1533-position model. The record is from RNAcentral.
UACGUAGGGUGCAAGCGUUGUCCGGAAUUAUUGGGCGUAAAGAGCUCGUAGGCGGUUUGUCGCGUCUGCUGUGAAAACCCGAGGCUCAACCUCGGGCCUGCAGUGGGUACGGGCAGACUAGAGUGCGGUAGGGGAGAUUGGAAUUCCUGGUGUAGCGGUGGAAUGCGCAGAUAUCAGGAGGAACACCAAUGGCGAAGGCAGAUCUCUGGGCUGUAACUGACGCUGAGGAGCGAAAGCAUGGGGAGCGAACAGG